RNAcentral lists this ribosomal RNA (467 nucleotides) under uncultured bacterium. RNAcentral's name for it is "partial 16S ribosomal RNA". It matches the Rfam family "Bacterial small subunit ribosomal RNA", at positions 28 to 507 of the family's 1533-position model. The record is from RNAcentral.
GACGAACGCUGGCGGCGUGCUUAACACAUGCAAGUCGAACGGAAAGGCCUCUUUCGGGGGGUACUCGAGUGGCGAACGGGUGAGUAACACGUGAGUAACCUGCCCUUGACUUUGGGAUAACUUCAGGAAACUGGGGCUAAUACCGGAUAGGAGCUCCUGCUGCAUGGUGGGGGUUGGAGAGUUUCGGCGGGUGGGGGUGGACUCGCGGCUUAUCAGCUUGUUGGUGGGGUAGUGGCUUACCAAGGCUUUGACGGGUAGCCGGCCUGGGAGGGUGACCGGCCACAUUGGGGCUGAGGUACGGCCCAGACUCCUACGGGAGGCAGCAGUGGGGAAUAUUGCACAAUGGGUGGAAGCCUGAUGCAGCAACGCCGUGUGCGGGAUGACGGCCUUCGGGUUGUAAACCGCUUUCGCUCAUGACGAAGCUUUGUGUGACGGUAGUGGGUAAAGAAGCACCGGCUAACUACGUG